AAACGUACCCACGUUCGGAUUGCAGUCUGCAACUCGAGUGCAUGAAGCUGGAAUCGCUAGUAAUCGCGGAUCAGAAUGCCGCGGUGAAUACGUUCCCGGGUCUUGUACACACCGCCCGUCACACCAUGGGAGUCGGGAAUGCCCGAAGCCGGUGGCCCGAUCGAAAAGAAGGGAGCCGUCGAAGGCAGGCCGGAUGACUGGGGUGAAGUCGUAACAAGGUAGC
Molecule: ribosomal RNA, 223 nt
Filed under: uncultured bacterium
Lineage: Bacteria
Description: partial 16S ribosomal RNA
Rfam family: Bacterial small subunit ribosomal RNA
Source: RNAcentral